This 501-nucleotide ribosomal RNA is filed under the name uncultured bacterium. RNAcentral's name for it is "bacterial SSU rRNA". It matches the Rfam family "Bacterial small subunit ribosomal RNA", at positions 30 to 523 of the family's 1533-position model. The record is from RNAcentral.
AUUGAACGCUGGCGGAAUGCUUUACACAUGCAAGUCGAACGGCAGCACGGGGCAACCUGGUGGCGAGUGGCGAACGGGUGAGUAAUAUAUCGGAACGUGCCCAAUCGUGGGGGGAUAACGUAGCGAAAGUUACGCUAAUACCGCAUACGAUCUACGGAUGAAAGCGGGGGAUCGCAAGACCUCGCGCGAAUGGAGCGGCCGAUAUCAGAUUAGGUAGUUGGUGGGGUAAAGGCUCACCAAGCCAACGAUCUGUAGCUGGUCUGAGAGGACGACCAGCCACACUGGAACUGAGACACGGUCCAGACUCCUACGGGAGGCAGCAGUGGGGAAUUUUGGACAAUGGGCGCAAGCCUGAUCCAGCCAUUCCGCGUGCAGGAUGAAGGCCUUCGGGUUGUAAACUGCUUUUGUUACGGAACGAAACGGUACUGCCCUAAUACGGCAGGCUAAUGACGGUACCGUAAGAAUAAGCACCGGCUAACUACGUGCCAGCAGCCGCGGUAA